Pan troglodytes (chimpanzee) is the source of this 328-nucleotide long non-coding RNA. RefSeq lists it as uncharacterized. The transcript has 2 exons. The record is from RefSeq and is a predicted model, not a curated record. NCBI's taxonomy places the organism in Eukaryota, Metazoa, Chordata, Mammalia, Primates, Hominidae.
UGUGUGUCCCUUUGUCGUAUUGUCAGAGGAGCCUGUGGCCACUGCCCCCAGGGAGCACACCAGAUCAUCCCAGCUGGGAUUCCUCACGGCGGGGGCUUUUCUGCAGACUUGGCUUUUUCAGCAGAUGCCAUCGUGUGAGUGGCACAGUUGACCACUAGAAGCCAGCAGGCUGUUCCGGCCGUGCUUCCCUCCUGCAGUUGCGUAGAAGCACAGCUCCCUGUCAUCACUCUUCUGUGGUCCUCUGUGGUCACGGUUGGUUGCAAUGAGACCUGCCUCUGCGUCUUGUUACUUAGCAUGUCAAUAAAGAGGCAGAUUCCUGUGUCAGUGA